RNAcentral lists this ribosomal RNA (200 nucleotides) under uncultured bacterium. RNAcentral describes it as "partial 16S ribosomal RNA". It matches the Rfam family "Bacterial small subunit ribosomal RNA", at positions 29 to 219 of the family's 1533-position model. The record is from RNAcentral.
AACGAACGUUAGCGGCGCGCUUAACACAUGCAAGUCGAGCGAGAAAGGGGCAACCCCGGUAAAGCGGCGCACGGGUGAGUAACACGUAGGUAAUCUACCCUCCGGUGGUGGAUAACUUUCCGAAAGGAAAGCUAAUACAGCAUGGGACCACGACUCCGAAAGGAGUUGAGGUGAAAGUCGGCCUCUUCACGAAAGCCGAC